GAUGAACGCUGGCGGCGUGCCUAAUACAUGCAAGUCGAGCGAACGGACGAGAAGCUUGCUUCUCUGAUGUUAGCGGCGGACGGGUGAGUAACACGUGGAUAACCUACCUAUAAGACUGGGAUAACUUCGGGAAACCGGAGCUAAUCCCGGAUAAUAUUUUGAACCGCAUGGUUCAAAAGUGAAAGACGGUCUUGCUGUCACUUAUAGAUGGAUCCGCGCUGCAUUAGCUAGUUGGUAAGUUCACGGCUUACCAAGGCAACGAUGCAUAGCCGACCUGAGAGGGGGAUCGGCCACACGGGAACUGGGACACGGACAAGACGCCUACGGGAGGCAGCAGUAGGGAAUCGUCCGCAAUGGGCGAAAGCCUGACGGAGCAACGCCGCGUGAGUGAUGAAGGUCUUCGGAGCGUAAAACUCUGUUAUUAGGGAAGAACAGAUGUGGAAGUAACUGUGCACAUCUUGACGGUACCUAAUAAGAAAGCCACGGCUAACUACGUG
RNAcentral lists this ribosomal RNA (497 nucleotides) under uncultured bacterium. RNAcentral's name for it is "partial 16S ribosomal RNA". It matches the Rfam family "Bacterial small subunit ribosomal RNA", at positions 28 to 507 of the family's 1533-position model. The record is from RNAcentral.